GGCUUCAUAGCUUGGUUGGUUAAAGCAUUGCACCACUGAGCAUUGUGAGGUCACGGGUUCAAACCCUGUUGAAGUCC
RNAcentral lists this transfer RNA (77 nucleotides) under Acropora cervicornis. RNAcentral's name for it is "tRNA-Leu". It matches the Rfam family "tRNA". Rfam says of the family: Transfer RNA (tRNA) molecules are approximately 80 nucleotides in length. Their secondary structure includes four short double-helical elements and three loops (D, anti-codon, and T loops). The record is from RNAcentral. Lineage: Eukaryota; Metazoa; Cnidaria; Anthozoa; Scleractinia; Acroporidae.